RNAcentral lists this unclassified non-coding RNA (2732 nucleotides) under Hevea brasiliensis (rubber tree). The record is from RNAcentral. Lineage: Eukaryota; Viridiplantae; Streptophyta; Magnoliopsida; Malpighiales; Euphorbiaceae.
CAACAGAAUGGAGAUUCAGUCCAAACAAGCACUCACUUUGCUGGCCAUUCACCAGUAUAUGGCCACAGUAUGAGUGCCAUUUACUGACACAAACCCUUUUUUUUAGGCCAAUAUUGUACACACAAAAAACACUUAGAAAAUGUUUAAAUAGUAUGUCCAAACUGAAGGAAAAAGAAGUUUCCUCUAAUGUGGUACAACUAUUUAAAUUAUGCCUAUGUAGCAUAGUUUCUAGGCAGAACUAUCUAUAACAAGCUUAUUUACAAUACACUACCUUUCUUCUAGAUUGACAGCAAGCAUACAAUUAACAUCAUCCAAAAACGUCCAAAGAGUCUGACCGAGUCAAGACUAAUGAAAGAAGUUUCUUCCUCUGAGGUAGACUAUUAAUUCUAUACCUAUUUACACAAGUAACAAAGACAACAUGACAUCAAAAUGAAUCAUUUAACAGCAUAUAUCAUCAUGCAAAAACAAGGAUAAAAAUUGGAUCCUAUGGACUUAUUCAGUAUAUGUACUAUACCACAUCAACAUAGCCGAUUGCCUAUGAAAUUAACAAAUGUUCUAUAAUACAUCCACACUCAGCCAAUGCUUGUAUGGGAGUUACAUAAUACACAGGACAGGAGCCAGGGGUUGAAAGUGAUAAUAGAGAAUAUCGUUUGUCAUCAUUCCAUUACACAAUUUUAGAAAUAUAUUCAAAAUGCGAAGGCCUCAUAUAAGGCCACGUGCAGCUCACAGUUCAGUAUAUUGCCGUAUGCAGAUAUCAAAGACUGCGCAUCCAUCAAUAAAAGAAACAAGGAAGAGGGUCCCAUUAAUCGUGAAUUGCAGAUUCCAAAUGUUAAUUUCAGAUGACAAGUGUCAAAUCAACACAAAAAUAAAUAAUUAUUCAUAUUCAAAAUGUUACACUCAUGGAAAAACCGGAUACGGCCAUUUCCUAAACUAAAGUCUCAUAAUCAAAGCAUUAGAACCAGUGAUUAUCACCUGGAAAUGAUUUCCGGGCAAACUAGUCAGUUAACAGGUAUUUAACUACAUGAUGUCAAGAAAGUCAUUUCUACAGCAUUGCUCUUAAGGAAAUUAAAUUAUAGACAGAAAAACAAAACAAGCAACACUGAUGAAGAUUGAUGGUAAAAGCAAAAGUCAAAAGUGAACUAAACACUAACAAAGCAAGGCAAAGGAAAAUAUAGAAGAAAAGGUAAUUCGCAUCAACCGUCCCAACAUUUCUGCAGACAACCACAAGGUUUGCAACAAUGGCAACAGAUUUUUCCUUCAAACUUUGGCCUUCCUGAAACGUCAAGUAUUUAAAAAGUACCUAUAUUUGGCAGCAGACGGGAUGUACAUAAUAAGCACGAAAUGCCAAACAGGCUUCCAAAGGCAGAAGAUGACUGAACCCUUCAACCAGGAAGACAUCCAUACUUUAGAAGAAGAAUUCAUUGAGCAAACUCAAUCAUUGUUUCCCUUCAGCCCACCAAUAUAGCUUUCCUGCUCUCCAUCCUCAAUGUUUCCAGUAAGCAUUUCUCUACUAUUGUUAUUGUGGACAAGAUCCAGGAAAAAAUCUGUCAAAACAGACUCAUAAUUUGGCAUCUUGGCAUAGCCCGGAAAAUAGUUUAUAUCAAUGACAAGAUACCUAUUCCUAUCUUUAGCAUCCCUAAUAACAUCAAAGUUGAACAAAUUAAGCCCCGUUUCCCGCCUCAUUGCCCUGGCUAUCUCCUCGACAAAUCCCAACGGCGGCAUUUCCACUUUCUCAAGAUCAACUACAUCACCAAAGCCCUCAUUCUUCCCUCGCACAGUCAAAUUCGAAAUUUGAGAAAAUGAUAAGGAGCCCUUCAAUGUGGCUAAUUUCUCCUGGGAUAUAUCAGGCAAUGACUUCCUCUUUACACAUUGCACGUAGUCACCAGCCACAUAAACUUUGAAAAUCACGCCACCAUGGUUCACAAAGUCCUGCAAUAUAAUAGGAGCAUCUAGCCUCUUCAACCCUUCACUGUCAAAAAUCUGAUACAUUUUGUGGGAUUUUGCGCUCCCGUCAGCUACUAAUGGUUUCGCUACUAAAGGAAACCCUAUCUCCCCAACUACACCAUUUCCCUUCAAAUUCUCCGAAUCCAAAACAACAACCUGUUUAGGCACAUCCAACACUUGGCUUCUCUUAGGUAUAUUUAACCGACUGACAACUUCGAGCAUAGAAAUUCGAUUGUGCAGCCUCUCGAUGGAAUCAGGAGAAUCAAUAAUGGGAACCUUAGGGUUUUCCAAAUAGAACUUCUCCAGUUGCAGCUUCCAAUCUGGGCCAUACAAUUUGUGAAUGACACAAUCAAAUGGCCCUUGUUCAAUUAGGGAUUUUGAAGGAUCGAUGGCGAUCAGAUCGACGUUGUGGCGACUCGCGUGGCUAAUGAGCGAGGGCUGGAUAAAGCUCUGCACUUUCUUGGGCGCCAGUGCGUAGCCUAUGCGGUGCCGUUUCGCCUGGAUUGACAUGGUUGCCUUUUGGCAGGUAAGAAACCAGAGAAAACAAAGAAACAAGAAACUAAAACAAAACAAUUUGAGAUUCUCAGAGAAUGAAAAGCUCUAUAGAGCAGUGAAGAGAAAGUGCAGAGAGGUUUUGUGAGCUAUAAUAUAAAGAGAGAAGAGGAUGCGGAGGGAAGGCAGGCUCUGGCUUUGGCCUUUUGCUCCUGAAGGUGAAGAGAGACAGAGAGCGUGCCGCUCAGCGCGUGGGAAAUCUCAGGAAAGAUGAUAUGGGAUUCGGGAGGCUUGAG